This 401-nucleotide ribosomal RNA is filed under the name uncultured Candidatus Saccharibacteria bacterium. Its description in RNAcentral is "bacterial SSU rRNA". It matches the Rfam family "Bacterial small subunit ribosomal RNA", at positions 358 to 774 of the family's 1533-position model. The record is from RNAcentral. Lineage: Bacteria; Candidatus Saccharimonadota.
GGAAUCUUUCACAAUGGGCGAAAGCCUGAUGGAGCAACGCCGCGUGCAGGAUGACGGCCUUCGGGUUGUAAACUGCUUUUAUAUCCGAGAAAUAUGAUGGUAAGAUAUGAAUAAGGAUCGGCUAACUACGUGCCAGCAGCCGCGGUCAUACGUAGGAUCCGAGCAUUAUCCGGAGUGACUGGGUGUAAAGAGUUGCGUAGGUGGCAUAGUAAGUAGAUAGUGAAAUCUGGUGGCUCAACCAUUCAGACUAUUGUCUAAACUGCUAAGCUCGAGACCGUUAGGGGUAACUGGAAUUUCUAGUGUAGGAGUGGAAUCCGUAGAUAUUAGAAAGAACACCGAUAGCGUAGGCAGGUUACUGGGACGGUUCUGACACUAAGGCACGAAAGCGUGGGGAGCAAACG